GCACCGUUUCGAAACUUAAAGGAGAAAUAGAUGAAAUAAAAUUAGAACAAAUGGAAGUGAUUCCGAAGAAUAUUAGAGGUAAAGGUAUUAAUAUAAGCUAUAUAUCAUUAUAUAAUGAGUUCUACAAUUCCAGUUAAAAUUUAUCAGAACGAAAUUGAAAAACAAAGUCUUCGCACUGCUAUUAUACAUAGUAGAAUCUUUAUGAGUACUUUUAGAAUGAGUGUAUGUUUUGGAAGACUUUAAUUUUAAAAAGACAACAGUACAGUUAACCAACACACGUUUGUCCAGUUAAAACAGUCAAUUCAGUUAUACAGUGUAAAUCAAAUAUUUUGGUAGAUGAAUACAUGUCCAUAGUCCUUCUAUUGUCUUUAAGAGUUAUGAGUAUGAUAGCCAUUGCUACAACUCUCCACCAAAGACGAAAUGACUUAGCUAUAAAAGACCAAAACUAAACAAAUGUGAAACAAUUCAAACAUAGAGUCUAAAGAUUUUGACUGAUGUGCAAAAUUAUGAUUGAAAAAAAAUAUGAUAAACAUCAAUAAACAAUAACCACUGAUUUACAAGCUCCUGCCUUCACAUACACCUACAGAAUGAGGCAAGGUAACACCUGUUCCAUAAUGCCAAAUGUUUCAAACAGUUGAAAAUGAGCUUUAAAGUAAAAUCACAAAUAUACUGAACUCCGAAGAACAUUCAAAAAGGAAACACUAAUAAAAUGGCAAAAUCAAAAGGCCAAACGCAUCCAACGAAUGGAUAACAACUGUCAUAUUCCUGCUUUGGUACAGGCAUUUUCUUAUGUAGAAAAGGAUUAAUUGAAUCUGGUUUUACAACUACCUUAACCUCUCACUUGUAUUGACAGUCGCAUCAAAUACUAUAAUAUUGAUAACGAUGCGUAAAAAAAACAAACAGACACAAUAUGUAAAAAUCAAUUCAGUACCAUUGUUACACUAUUGAAUCCAGAUAUUGAAUUAUUUUUAGUUCUGUUAUAAGUGUGUAGAGAAUACGUUUGUCAGUAAAAAAUUGCCAUAUUUGUCAAAGCUUGUGUAGAACUUCAAACACUUACCGUGGAAUACAGAUACAAAACUGUAACUUUGGGACAAUUAUCAUUCCAUAUAUAAAGCUUUUGAUAUUUUUUCUUGGUAAGUAAAUAUAUUGUUAAUCAUGAAUGUUAUAAUUAAUCAAUAUUUAUAUGUUUAAUAACCACCAAUAAUUGGAAUUCGCUUCACAAAAACACCAGUUACUUAAUAUCAAUAUGAUAAUAAAUUACCACAGUGAUUUUAUUACUAUUUGAAUUAAUUAAAAAAACAAGCAUUGAUAUAAGACAAUAAGAAGACCAUUUUCAAUUGAAAGCGUGAAUGGAUUAUAUUUCAUUGAAAAAAUUAUAUAUAUCCGUGUCAUUGACGAAAAGAUGUUCAUGGUUUUAACUUUUCAAAGACUUCACUGACUUAAUGAAUAUCUAAAUACUAUCUGUCGUUACUAACAUGAUUAAUAUCUUUGUUUCAUGAUGCAGGUUAAUCUAGUAAAAUAAUUUCGUCGUGUUUUGUUCUCACAUUUUGUCCAUACCACUGCUGGUUGUUAAUAGUCAAAUAAAGUAUCACAGGCUCGUUAGACCAGUUCGUCAGUACUGAAAUGAUUAAUAGAAAUAUCAUUGAGUUCGUAAUUGAUAAAUUUAAAACAUUUUUCAAAACUAAGAUUCAAACUUGCUCACAUAGUUUGAGCUAGAUUUUAUGUCUCAUUGGUGAUAUAACUUCUCAUUUGUUUCAGUAGUUUUUGCAUGCUUUACAUGCUUGGUUAAUUAUGUUCUUUCCAACAUAUCUAAUAGUCCAAGUUGCACGUCUUUAUUUUUUUAGUUUGACCUUGUAAACCUUACAUAUUAUGUAACAGUUGAUCGUCAUGAUCAUGCUUAAAAUAAUUCCCAGUUGAGGUAAUGACAACACUGAAGCAUUGAUGUCCAAUUGUUUCUUGUAGUUCACUUCAUUACAAGAAAAAACAGGUUGAUAUAGUGCGUACAAAAAGACUCAUUAUUCAAAUACGUUUGAUUAUCAUUUUUACGACGUUUUGUGAACUUCACCACUUUACUCUUUCUUCUUUGAAUGAUGCUAAUCGUGUUUUGAUUUUGAUCCUAAACUUGAAGAAGAUACAAAAAAACAAACCCAAAGUUUCACCUGCCUCUUUCCAAUUUAACAUUUUAUUUAUUGGUAUGGAAAAUGUCAUUGCUUACCAGAAUUAUAUCCAGUAUUGUUCAUCUACCCAGAGGUUUGCUAGGUAAUUCUUUUUUUGUUUUAACCUACUUCAUGCAUGUUAUCACUUAUUUAAAUUAGUAAGUAUACUGCAAGAGAUGUUAUAAAGGGUCUUGUCUUUAUCCCCAUACACGAAGUAACUAAACUGUUUCAACUAAGGUCAUAUAUAUAUCUAUAUGAAGUGUUAUAUAAGCUACAAGUCUGUACUGCGUGAAAUUUGCUCAUUUAUCAUGCUUUACUUUUCUAUACAGUUUGACAACGAUCACCAACCAUCUAAUUGUGUAAGCUAUAUGUGUGCAUUCUGACACAACUGUGUAGGACUCGGUGGGGAUGCGAUGGGGACGCUGAAGUGCGAUGGUCACGCUAAAGAGCGAUGGUCUACCCGGAAAAGCGAUGGUCCGUUCGCUGAUGUGCGAUUGCCAUAUAUGUUGUUAUCUAUAGUUUCAUGCUAAAUGAGAGAGAAAGUUCUCUAUAAAUUUGCCGCAUGAGGACAUUUUCUGCGUUUACAGUUUAUCUUCAAAGACAUAACUUUGUUCCCCUCAUCUGAGAUUACUAUGUGUUAUAGUACUCUCGUCUCAGUCUGAGCUUACCAUUUACCGUAGUAUCAUAAUACGAAGAGUAUGUCAGCGUUUUCUAAUUAGUUCUCUUUACCGGUAGUAUUAAGAAGAAUGAAUAGAACUUGUAUAUAUGAUGGAUAUACAAAAACAUUCCAUAUUUUCUCAGCCCAGUUGCAGUAAAAGCGACAUACGGGUGUUAAGUUAAUUAUGUACUUAAAUUAUAAAUAUAUUGCGUUUUAAGCAGCUAUCACAUUUUCAGUCGUUGUAAUAAGCACUUUUUUAAUGGAAAAAAAUGUUUGCAUGUAGCACCUGGAACGUUUGAAUGAAUGUUUACUUUUUGUUGUCCAAAGUAACUAAAACGUAACAAUUAUGACUGGAAAUAUUCUAGAUUAUUUACUUAAUAAACAAAAAAGCUUCUUUUAGCACAGAUAUUUACUUCUUCAUCGACAGAUGGACAUGAAAAACACUAACAACAUGCAGUUUAAGUAACCCAUCGCACUUUGGCGUAGCUAUCAACAAGAUGGCGUCACUAUAACACAAUCGCACUUCAGCGUGAUAAAAAAGGCACUUCAACGUCAAAAUAUCGCAUCUGAACGUGACCAUCGCGGUUUGGAGUACCAUUGGAGUUCAGAGUCUUACAUCUGUAUAAAAUUUUGAUGCUUUUUUCUACAAUAAAUUCAAAUUUUAGAAAUGAGGUAUUUAGCUUUCUGUAAGAAGUUUUUCUGGCUUUUAUGUGUUCACAUCCAUUACAUUUUUAUUUAUUCUGAAUACUCGUAUUUGUGGUAUCAUUCAAGUAACAGCAGAUCGCAUUUUUCAAUCAAAUUGUUAAUAACCAUACGCAGACUUUAGAUUUAUCAUUUAUCCACCUUAAAAAGCUUAAAUUGGAAAGGUUCAACAGUUGAUCAGGACAAACAUGAUGACUUAAAAGUUUGAUUUUCUGGUUUGAAUAUGUUUUUUUUCUUCAGAUGGCCUUAACUUAUAUCAGUAAAAUUUAAAGUCAGGAUAUCAAACCUUGUACACAGCUACUUUUUGCAUAGGUACUAUUUCUGUACUAAAAUAUGCAAUACUGGAAAUUUACUUUUAAUAUUUAGUACUAUUUAUUUACUUUAAAAUUAUUGUAAUAUUUAGGUACUUGUAUUUUACAGUACUUGAUUUGUACUAAAUAUUUUGGUACAGAAAUAAUAUAAUAUUCCAUGUUUGAAAAUCAUAACUUUAAGAGAUUUGAAAUACAAAAACUUUCAAAAUGCUGAAAAUGUAACGGUAGUAACCAAAAACUUGUAGUACCUAAAUUUCAAGUACAAAUUAGGUACUGUAAAAUACAGGUACCUAAAUAUUACAAUAAUUUUAAAGUUACAAAAUAGUACUGAAUAUUAAAAGUAAAUUUCCAGUACUACAGAGUUUUAGUACAGAAAUAGUACCUAUGCAAAAGUAGUUGUGUAGGAGUCACAUUUCCCCAUUACUAAGACAUGUUUAAGAUAAGUUUUAUAGAAAACAUGGUGUCAUUUUCAUAGAUGUGCAUUGGUUGUUUUUGUCAGUCUCGAAUGCAAUAAUUGAUUUACUGCUUAUAAAUUGAUGCAAUAAAUCAUAUAAGUAUAAUGUCAUUAUAAAAAGAAUUAAAUGAAUUUCAAUUAUUUAAUGCAGAGCGUUUAAUGGAAAACCAGUAAGGCAAUGUUCACAUUAACCCAAACUUGGUGUUGUGUUAGUGUAAUUCACAAUGAAACAAAAACACUUUAAGUUCCCAUUGAUAACACUCAUCUUUUACAUUUAGUUAAAAUCAUGUUUUGUUUACAUGCUGUCGAUAGUCAUUGUCGGCCUUAUGUUGCUUAAGUGUACACAAAACAAGGUAUUUAAAACAUGAAUUUUACCCUUUAUAUUUAAAAAAGAAACGUUUUUAUGAGUAGAAUUGAUAUUUAUAACAAUUUUAAUCAGGUUCUAUAUCGAAUGAUUUGUCUUGUUAUAAAAAAAUAAAAAUAGGUAGCUUUCUUAACCCCUUAUCAACACUAAAAACAUCAUCAUUACCAAACAUCAUUCAUUUAAAAAUGUCUACCCGAAUUGACUGGACGCACACGGAUAUAUUUUCCACUGAUCAAUACUCAACCAACGGUUCACUCGUAAAUGUACUACUAAAAAGAAAAUGCUGUGAAUUGUAUUGUUUGCUAGAAUCUCAGAUCCGGUAAAGUGCACUAAGAAAUGAAAAAAAAUCAUUUUCAAUUUACGAACUGUUGAUUUAAGGCCAAAGUAUCUGCAAUUCCACAUCAAAACUAUCAGAUGCUUCCAAUCCCUUUCGAUAAAAAGUUCAACAGCUGCUUUAUAUACGCUCAUUGGCGAAAUACCAAUUGAAGACGAACUUCAUAAGAGACAACUUAGACAACUUUCCAAAGGUGCAAAUCUUACAAUAUUACAGUCAUUCACGAGCUGUACACAAAAUUCUUCUAACAUAAUUUCAAUGGAAAAAGCUAAUCAACACAGCCAUAGCCGAUAAAUGGACAUGUAAGCUAAAAACCGAAGUGAAAGAAAAAUCCAGUCUUUAAUUCUGCUAACAAUAGAGAUCAAAAUACAUCAGACUCUACCAGUUUGGAACUAUUUACCAUCAGUCAUAUAUUAGGUGAAAAAGGCACAAAUCAAAGCUAGGUUACUAACAUACCUUUCAGAAUUUUACAUUAAAAAAAUUCAAAAGUGAAAAAGAAAAGGUAAAUUGUACUCUGAUAUUUGGAAACAAAAACUCUAGAACACUUCGUACUCAAUUGCCCAGCUCUUUAUGAUUAACGACACUUUCAAAGGGAACCAGACAUUAAUUAUUCAAAUAAAUAUAGACAGCACAACAGUAACAAAAGAAAUGAACUUUAUUCCAGAAACAAUUAUUCAAAUAGAAAAUCUUAGUAGAGAUCUAUGAUGUAGAUUGAAUCCAUCGUAAUUAUAUUAAGGGAGUUAAUCGCUUUAAAAAAAAGUAAAAUCACAAAAAUACUGAACUCAGAAGAAAAUCUAACUGGAAAGUCCAUAAUCACAAUACAAAAUCGAAUGACAAAGCACAUAAAAAACGAAUGGACAAGAACUGUCCUAUUCCUGACAUGGUACAGGCAUUUUCAAAAGUAGAAAAUUGUGGAUUAAACCUGUUUUUAAAGCGCUAAACCUCUCACUCUGAUGACAGUCUCAUCAAAUUCCAUAACUCAUUUUAAAUUUUUUUGAGUUACCGAAUACAUGUAAUUAAUGCAAUUCAUUAAACUGAUGUAAAUAUUUCCGCUGUAAAUUCUUGACCACUUAUUUUACCUAUUUUAUUCUUUUUUAUCAAAAUCCUUUUAAAACUUUUCAACUCAGCUAAUGUCUUUUUUAAGUAUAUAAACAAAAAGAUAAAUAUUUGUCUGCUGUUAAUAUAUCCCCUUACUACCUUUUCUUUUAAAUCAAUGUUGGUUUUUUUUUUUUAAAGUUUAAGGUCUAUAUUUUACUACCGUGUGACACGGGUGCUCCGUUGCGGAGUAAUCUACGAAAGAAGCUUCGUAGUAUUUGGUCAUUGCUCUUGGUUCCAAAUAUAGACCGUUUUAUUCAAGCAAAUCUAAUGAAUUGCGAAAAACGCAAAUACAUUUCAUCAAAUUAUCAACUCCUGAAAGGUUGUAUGUUUGGUACCAUCUAAUUUAAAUAGUUUAUAAGUGCUAUAUAUGUUAAAUUCCCGCGCUUGUUUUGUAUUUAACAGAUCAAAUGUUGAAAGAUCUAGAAAAAUGGUUACAAGAUGAUACAAAGUUCGUACCUACAACAGCUUCUGAGUAUGUAUUAAGUUGUUUGAAAAGGGAAAACUGUGUAUCUAUUGUUGGAAGUCCAGGAGUGGGAAAAACCGCUGUUACAAGACAUGUAGCUUUAAAGAUGAAAGAGCAAGGAUAUACUGUAAUUCCUAUAACAGUUCCAACGGAUAUAAGAGACUUUUACCAGCCAGGUCAACAAACAGUGUUUAUUAUUGAUGAUAUGUGUGGUAAAUUUACUGCUAAUCAACAGCUGAUUGACACCUGGAAACAGUUACUAGGUGUCGUUGAUAACAUAUUAUCAGAUAAUUGUAAAAUUUUUGUAUCAAUUAGAUCCCAAGUAUAUAAAGAUACACAAUUUUGUGUGUUAUCCCAAUUCAGAUCAUGUGAAUGUAAUUUAUUUUCACACAAUUUACUGUUAUCGAAGGAUGAGAGAAUACAAAUAGCCAAAUCUCAUUUAGGUAAACAUGGAAAUGAUAUACCAGAAGCUAUGUUGUUGAAAUAUGAUUUUUUUCCUCUAUUAUGCUUUCUUUUUAGUAGACAAGAAAACAUGGACAUCAAUAAUUUCUUUAAUAACCCUUUCGUAGUAUUUGAAAAAGAGCUGAACAGUCUUUGGAAUGAAGGAGAAGUUGGUCAGUGCAAGAUUUGUGGACUAGCGCUUUGUGUUAUUUAUAAUAAUAAAUUAGAUGAGAAAUACCUGACAAGCAUGGAAUCGUGUGUUCGGGAUAUAAUAGAUGAUGUGUGUGAAGCAUGUGGAAUUAAUAGAGGAACAUCGAGGAUCAAAAUAAAGGAAGAACUGGAUACACUUGUAGGUACAUAUCUUAAGAAAGAAAACAAUAUAUAUAUAACAAUUCAUGAUAAGCUAUUUGAUUUUUUGGUAUAUUUCUAUGGAACAAAGAUGUUAGACUGCCUUAUUAAACAUGCAAUGACUGAUAUCAUCCACCAACGUUUCCGAUGGAACAAAUUUCGCAAUAACGAGGACAAAGAUACAGAUGAGUUUAUUAACAUAAUUCCAGAUGAUAAAUUAACCUUGUAUUUAAACAGACUUAUAUUAGACUGGUCACAUGGAAAACUUUAUGAUGUGUUCUCGUCUAAUUAUAACAUGACAAAUGAACAAUUCAGGGAAUUAUUACUUACUCAGUUAUUGUAUCGUGAUAAAGCAGAACAGUCACAACUUUCCCGGGUUACAGAGAGGGAGGACUGUUUUGUAAUUGGUUCUUUAGAAGCCUGUUGUGCGAAAGGGUAUACUAAUUUGUUACCAUGGUUUGUUGAUCAAGGUUUGGACAUUAAUCAAUGUAAUAGUUUGACACCUCUUGGUGCUGCAUGUUGUGGAAAUCAAAUAGAAAUGAUCAAUACAUUAUUAAAUAAGGGGGCAGAUAUUAACAAACAACAAAUGCUUGGAUUUACACCUCUUCAUCACUCAUGUGAUGCCAGUGUCGACCGAGCUAUCUUAGUUCUAUUGCUGAAAAACAAACCUUGCCUAAACAAACGAAGGUACGAUGGUGCAACUCCAUUACUCUAUGCGUUAUAUGAACACAAUAGGGAAGCAGUAAAACUACUUCUUUCUCAUUCUGCUGAUUGUAAUAUUGGUUUCUAUGACAGUCAGACAAUUAAAGAUGGACGAAGGGAAUACGAAAAAU
RNAcentral lists this long non-coding RNA (8162 nucleotides) under Mytilus galloprovincialis (Mediterranean mussel). Lineage: Eukaryota; Metazoa; Mollusca; Bivalvia; Mytilida; Mytilidae. The record is from RNAcentral.